Non-coding RNA from Candidatus Kaiserbacteria bacterium, 72 nucleotides. NCBI's taxonomy places the organism in Bacteria, Candidatus Kaiseribacteriota. The record is from Rfam.
GGACGCUUAGCUCAGUGGUAGAGCAACGCUUUUACACAGCGAAGGUCGGGGGUUCAAAUCCCUCAGCGUCCA